This 308-nucleotide ribosomal RNA is filed under the name marine bacterium SIMO IS-S36-105. RNAcentral describes it as "bacterial SSU rRNA". It matches the Rfam family "Bacterial small subunit ribosomal RNA", at positions 216 to 541 of the family's 1533-position model. RNAcentral also lists the same sequence under 1 other name. The record is from RNAcentral. Lineage: Bacteria; Pseudomonadati; Pseudomonadota; Alphaproteobacteria; Rhodobacterales; Paracoccaceae.
CGGGGAUGGAUCGGCCCGCGUCUGAUUAGGUAGUUGGUGGGGUAAUGGCCUACCAAGCCUACGAUCAGUAGCUGGUUUGAGAGGAUGAUCAGCCACACUGGGACUGAGACACGGCCCAGACUCCUACGGGAGGCAGCAGUGGGGAAUCUUAGACAAUGGGCGCAAGCCUGAUCUAGCCAUGCCGCGUGAGUGACGAAGGUCUUAGGAUCGUAAAGCUCUUUCGCUGGGGAAGAUAAUGACUGUACCCAGUAAAGAAGUCCCGGCUAACUCCGUGCCAGCAGCCGCGGUAAUACGGAGGGGACUAGCGU